Molecule: ribosomal RNA, 255 nt
Filed under: uncultured bacterium
Lineage: Bacteria
Description: partial 16S ribosomal RNA
Rfam family: Bacterial small subunit ribosomal RNA
Source: RNAcentral
UACGUAGGGGGCAAGCGUUGUCCGGAAUCAUUGGGCGUAAAGGGCGCGUAGGCGGUCGUGACAAGUCACUUGUGAAAUCUCCGGGCUUAACUCGGAACGGUCAAGUGAUACUGUCGGACUAGAGUACAGAAGGGGCAACUGGAAUUCUCGGGUGUAGCGGUGAAAUGCGUAGAUAUCGAGAGGAACACCUGCGGCGAAGGCGGGUUGCUGGGCUGAUACUGACGCUGAGGCGCGAAAGCCAGGGGAGCGAACGGG